GAGCGGAAAUUGCCAGCGGGACGCUGUAACCUAUUGGCUUUGACAUUUGCAACGGUGCUGCUAGCAGAGCUGCGAUGAAGAGCUGGAGUCUUUUGCACCAUCACAGCCAUGUCGUGAGUGCUCGCUUCAGGGCACCAACCAAACGGGGCUCACUCUC
This 157-nucleotide non-coding RNA is filed under the name Karenia brevis. The record is from RNAcentral. Lineage: Eukaryota; Dinophyceae; Gymnodiniales; Kareniaceae.